Molecule: ribosomal RNA, 609 nt
Filed under: Peptococcus sp. oral taxon 167
Lineage: Bacteria; Bacillati; Bacillota; Clostridia; Eubacteriales; Peptococcaceae
Description: bacterial SSU rRNA
Rfam family: Bacterial small subunit ribosomal RNA
Source: RNAcentral
CGCAAUGGGCGCAAGCCUGACGGAGCAAUGCCGCGUGAGUGAAGAAGGCCUUCGGGUUGUAAAACUCUGUCCUAGACGAAGAGAGAGUAUUGUAGUAACUGACAAUACUAGGACGGUAGACUAGGAGGAAGCCCCGGCUAACUAUGUGCCAGCAGCCGCGGUAAAACAUAGGGGGCAAGCGUUGUCCGGAAUCACUGGGCGUAAAGGGCGCGCAGGCGGUAAAUUAAGUCAGGUGUAAAAGUUCGGGGCUCAACCCCGUGAUUGCACCUGAUACUGAUAAACUAGAGUGUUGGAGAGGUAAGUGGAAUUCCUAGUGUAGCGGUGGAAUGCGUAGAUAUUAGGAGGAACACCAGUGGCGAAGGCGACUUACUGGCCAAUAACUGACGCUGAGGCGCGAAAGCGUGGGGAGCAAACAGGAUUAGAUACCCUGGUAGUCCACGCCGUAAACGAUGAGUACUAGGUGUUGGUUGUUUCGAAACAAUCGGUGCCGCAGUAACACAAUAAGUACUCCGCCUGGGGAGUACGGUCGCAGACUGAAACUCAAAGGAAUUGACGGGGCCCGCACAAGCGGUGGAACAUGUGGUUUAAUUCGACGCAACGCGAGAACCU